Cebus imitator (Panamanian white-faced capuchin) is the source of this 141-nucleotide small nuclear RNA. Its record names the gene U4. It matches the Rfam family "U4 spliceosomal RNA". Rfam says of the family: U4 small nuclear RNA (U4 snRNA) is a component of the major U2-dependent spliceosome. The structure of U4 snRNA from yeast and human has been reported. The record is from Ensembl. Lineage: Eukaryota; Metazoa; Chordata; Mammalia; Primates; Cebidae.
AGCUUUGUGCAGUGGCAGUAUCGCAGCCGGUGAAGUUUAUCUGAGGCACGAUUAUUGCUAAUUGAAAACUUUUCCCAAUAGCCCACCAUGACAACUUAAAAUAUAGUCUGCACUGGCAAUUUUUGACAAUCUCUACGGAGA